UACAGAGGGUGCGAGCGUUAAUCGGAAUUACUGGGCGUAAAGGGCGCGUAGGCGGAUGAAUAAGUUAGGUGUGAAAUCCCUGGGCUUAACCUGGGAAUGGCACUUAAUACUGUUGAUCUAGAGUAGAGUAGAGGGAAGUGGAAUUUCCGGUGUAGCGGUGAAAUGCGUAGAGAUCGGAAAGAACACCAGUGGCGAAGGCGGCUUCCUGGACUCAUACUGACGCUGAGGCGCGAAAGCGUGGGGAGCAAACAGG
RNAcentral lists this ribosomal RNA (253 nucleotides) under uncultured bacterium. RNAcentral's name for it is "partial 16S ribosomal RNA". It matches the Rfam family "Bacterial small subunit ribosomal RNA", at positions 524 to 776 of the family's 1533-position model. The record is from RNAcentral.